GACGAACGCUGGCGGCGUGCUUAACACAUGCAAGUCGAACGGAAAGGCCCUGCUUUUGUGGGGUGCUCGAGUGGCGAACGGGUGAGUAACACGUGAUUAACCUGCCCUUGACUUUGGGAUAACUUCAGGAAACUGGGGCUAAUACCGGAUAGGAGCUCCUGCUGCAUGGUGGGGGUUGGAAAGUUUCGGCGGUUGGGGAUGGACUCGCGGCUUAUCAGCUUGUUGGUGGGGUAGUGGCUUACCAAGGCUUUGACGGGUAGCCGGCCUGAGAGGGUGACCGGCCAAAUGGGGACUGAGAUACGGCCCAGACUCCUACGGGAGGCAGCAGUGGGGAAUAUUGCACAAUGGGCGGAAGCCUGAUGCAGCAACGCCGCGUGCGGGAUGAAGGCCUUCGGGUUGUAAACCGCUUUCGCCUGUGACGAAGCGUGAGUGACGGUAAUGGGUAAAGAAGCACCGGCUAACUACGUG
RNAcentral lists this ribosomal RNA (468 nucleotides) under uncultured bacterium. RNAcentral's name for it is "partial 16S ribosomal RNA". It matches the Rfam family "Bacterial small subunit ribosomal RNA", at positions 28 to 507 of the family's 1533-position model. The record is from RNAcentral.